GACGAACGCUGGCGGCGUGCUUAACACAUGCAAGUCGAACGGAAAGGCCCUGCUUUUGUGGGGUGCUCGAGUGGCGAACGGGUGAGUAACACGUGAGUAACCUGCCCUUGACUUUGGGAUAACUUCAGGAAACUGGGGCUAAUACCGGAUAGGAGCUCCUGCUGCAUGGUGGGGGUUGGAAAGUUUCGGCGGUUGGGGAUGGACUCGCGGCUUAUCAGCUUGUUGGUGGGGUAGUGGCUUACCAAGGCUUUGACGGGUAGCCGGCCUGAGAGGGUGACCGGCCAAAUGGGAACUGGGAUCCGGCCCAGCCCCCUCGGGGAGGAAGAAUGGGGGAAUAUGGCCCAAGGGGGGAAGGCCUAAUGCGCAAACGCGGCGGGCGGGUUGCGGCCUUUCGGGUUGAAACCGGCUUUCGCCGGUGACGAGGCUGGGGGGAGGGAAUUGGUAAAGGAAGAACCGGCUAACUCGGU
Molecule: ribosomal RNA, 467 nt
Filed under: uncultured bacterium
Lineage: Bacteria
Description: partial 16S ribosomal RNA
Rfam family: Bacterial small subunit ribosomal RNA
Source: RNAcentral